This 33848-nucleotide long non-coding RNA is filed under the name Vitis vinifera (wine grape). RNAcentral's name for it is "long non-coding RNA (VVIN_LNC003540)". Lineage: Eukaryota; Viridiplantae; Streptophyta; Magnoliopsida; Vitales; Vitaceae. The record is from RNAcentral.
AAAAUUCUACCUUUACGCUUAAAGCAAGGUAGAGAAAGGAGUAGAUAUCAAAUGUUAAAACCACAAUGUCCUUGAAAGUAAAUCAAAUUAUUCUGAUACGAAACUAAAGAAAUGAGGAAUAGAAAACACAAGAUCAAGCUUUAAAAAAAAAAACAAAGAAAUCAAAGAAUUGAAAAUUAAUUUUCUGCUACACACAUGCGGUCAACAAAUAACACUCAAACAUAAAAGACAAGAAUCAAGAACAAUGCGAAGUGGAAGAGAAUAGUGGAUACGAAGGAAACUUACCUGACAAGGAUAUCCAAAUAAGCUUCUCUUCUCCUCGGGACACUUGAAAAUUCUACCCCUACGCUUAUAGAAAGUAGAGAAAAGAGUAGAGAUCAAAUGUAAAAACGAGAGUAAGAAAAUUAACUCUCAAGAGACAAUAUCGUUGAAAUUAAAUUAAAUUAUGUUGAUACGAAACUAAAAAAAUGAGGAAUAGAUAACGCAACAUCAAGAUAAAAAAAAAAAACAAAGAAAUUAACGGAUUCAAAAAUAAUUUUCUAAUACACACAUACAGUAGACGUAUAACACAAAACUAUAAAAGGUAACAAUGAAAAACAAUGCAAAAUGUGAGAGAAUAGGGAAUACGGAGGAAACUUAUCCAAUAACCAAUUCCCAAUAAACUUUUGUUCACCACGGGAAACCUUAAAAUUCUACCCUUACGCUUAAAGCAAGGUAGAGAAAUGAGUAGAUAUCAAAUGUUAAAACCACAAUGUCCUUGAAAGUAAAUCAAAUUAUUCUGAUACGAAACUAAAGAAAUGAGGAAUAGAAAACACAAGAUCAAGCUUUGAAAAAAAAAACAAAGAAAUCAAAGGAUUGAAAAUUAAUUUUCUGCUACACACAUGCGGUCAACAAAUAACACUCAAACAUAAAAGAGAAGAAUGAAAAAUAAUGCGAAAUGGAGGAAAAUAGGGGAUAAGGAGGAAACUUACCUGACAAGUAUUUCCCCAUAAACAUCUUUUUUCCUCGAGAAACCUAAAAAUUCUACCCUUACGCUUAUAGAAGGUAGCGAAAGGAGUAGAGAUCAAAUGUAAAAAUGAGAAUAAGAAAAUUAACUCUUAAGGCUCAAUAUUGUUAAAAGGAAAUCAAAUUCUGCUGACACGAAACUAAAGAAAUGAGGAAUAGACAACGCAACAUCAAGAUAAAAAACAAACAAAGAAAUUAAUGGAUUCAAAAUUAAUUUUCUAGAACACACGUAUAGUAGACAUAUAACACGAAAACAUAAAAGAUAAAUAAGAAGAACAACGCAAAAUUUGAGAGAAUAGGGAAUAUGGAGAAAACUUAUUGAAGAACUAAUUCCCAAUAAACUUCUCUUGACCAGGGGAAACCUGAAAAUUCUACCCUUACGCUUAAAGCAAGGUAGAGAAAGGAGUAGAGAUCAAAUUUUAAAACCACAAUGUACUUGAAAGUAAAUAAAAUUAUUUUGAUAAGAAACUAAAGAAAUGAGAAAUAGAAAACACAACAUAGAGCAAUAAAAAAAAACAAUGAAAUCAAAGGAUUGAAAAUUCAUUAUCCACUAGAUACACGCAGUGAACAAAUAACACUCAAACAUAAAAAAAAAAAGAAUGAAGAACAAUGCGAAAUGGUGGAGAAUAGGGGAUACAGAGAAAACUUACCUGACAAAUAUUUCCAAACAAACCACUCUUUUCCUCGGGAAACCUAAAAAAUUCUACACUUAUGCUUAUAGAAUGUAGCGAAAUGAGUAGAUAUCAAAAGUAAAAACGAGAAUAAGAAAAUUAAUUCUUAAGGCGCAAUAUCGUUGAAAGGAAAUCAAAUUAUGCAAAUACAAAACUAAAGAAAUGAGGAAUAGACAACGCAAGAUCAAGAUAAAAAACAACCAAAGAAAUUAACGGAUUCAAAAUUAAUUUUCUAGUACACAGAUACAGUAGACAUAUAACAUGAAAACAUACAAGAUAAAUAUGAAGAACAUUGCAAAAUUUGAGAGAAUAGGGAAUACGGAGGAAACUUAUCCAAGAACUAAUUCUCAAUAAACUUUCCUUCACAACGGGAAACCUGAAAAUUCUACCCUUUCGCUUAAAGCAAGGUACAGAAAGGAUUAGAGAUCAAAUGUUAAAACCACAAUGUCCUUGAAAGUAAAUAAAAUUAUUUUGAUAAGAAACUAAAGAAAUGAGCAAUAGAAAACACAACAUAGAGCUCUAAAAAAAACAAUGAAAUCAAAGGAUUGAAAAUUCAUUCUCUACUACAUACACGUAGUCAACAAAUAACACUCAAACAAAAUAGAGACGAAUGAAGAACAAUGCGAAAUGGAGGAGAAUAGGUGAUACAAACAAACUACUCUUUUCCUCGGGAAACCUGAAAAUUCUACUUUCACGCUUACCUGACAAGUAUGUGUGUACUAGAAAAUUAAUUUUGAAUCCGUUAAUUUCUUUGUUUGUUUUUUAUCUUGACCUUGCAUUGUUUAUUCCUCAUUUCUUUAGUUUUGUAUCUACAUAAUUUGAUUUGCUUUCAACGAUAUUGUGCCUUAAGAGUUCAUUUUCUUAUUCUCGUUUUUACUUUUGAUCUGUACUCCUUUCGCUACAUUCGAUAAGCGUAAGGGUAAAAUUUUCAGGUUUCUCGAGGAAAAGAGAAGUUUGUUUGGAAAUACUUGUCAGGUAAGUUUUCUCUGUAUCCCCUAUUCUCCUCCAUUUCGCAUUGUUCUUCAUUCUUCUCUUUUAUGUUUAAGUGUUAUUUGUUGAAUUCGUGUAUGUAGUAGAGAAUGAAUUUUUAACCUUUUGAUUUCAUUGGGUUUUUUUUUUAUAGCUCUAUGUUGUGUUUUCUAUUACUCAUUUCUUGACUUCCUUAUCAAAGUAAUUUUAUUUACUUUCAAGUACAUUGUGCUUUGAAAAUUUGAUCUCUACUCCUUUCUCUACCUUGCUUUAAGCGUAAGCGUAGAAUUUUUCAGGCUUCCCGUGGUCAAGAGAGUUUUAAUGGGAAUUAAUUAUUCAAUAAGUUUCCUCCAUAUUCCCUAUUCUCUCAAAUUUUGCACUGUUCUUCAUAUUAAUCUUUUAUGUUUUCGGGUUAUAUGCCUACUGUAUGUGUGUACUAGAAAAUUAAUUUUGAAUCCACUUAUUUCUUUGCUUGUUUUUUAUCUUGAUGUUGCGUUGUCUAUUCCUCAUUUCUUUAGUUUUGUAGCUGCAUAAUUUGAUUUGCUUUCAACGAUAUUGUGCCUUAAGAGUUCAUUUUCUUAUUCUCGUUUUUACAUUUGCCAGGUAAGUUUUCUUUGUAUCCCCUAUUCUCGUUCAUUUCGCAUUGUUCUUCAUUCUUCUCUAUUAUGUUUUAGUGUUAUUUUUUUAAAUUCGUGUAUGUAGCAGAGAAUGAAUUUUCAAUCUUUUGAUUUCAUUGUUUUUUUUUAUAGCUCUAUGUUGUGUUUUCUAUUACUCAUUUCUUUACUUUUUUAUCAAAAUAAUUUUAUUUUCUUUGAAGUACAUUGUGGUUUUACAAUUUGAUUUCUACUCCUUUCUCUACCUUGCUUUAAGAGUAAGGGUAGAAUUUUCAAGUUUCCCGUGGUCAAGAGAAGUUUAUUAGGAAUUAGCUAUUCAAUAAGUUUCCUCUAUAUUCCCUAUUCCCUCAAAUUUUGCACGGUUCUUCGUAUUUAUCUUUUAUGUUUUCAUGUUAUAUGCCUACUGUAUGUGUGUAUUAGUAAAUUAAUUUUCAAUCCGUUAAUUUCUUUGCUUGUUUUUUUAUCUUGAUGUUGCGUUGUCCAUUCCUCAUUUCCUUAGUUUCGUAUAUGCAUAAUUUGAUUUCCUUUCAACGAUAUUGUGCCUUAAGUUUUAUAUUUCUUAGUCUCGUUUUUACAUUUGAUUUCUACUCCUUUCGCUACCUUUUAUAAGCGUAAGAGCAAAAUUUUCAGGUUUCCCAAGGAAAAGAGAAGCUUAUUUGGAAAUACUAGUCAUGUAAGUUUCCUCCGUAUCCCUUAUUCUCUUCUAUUUCGCAUUGUUCUUUAUUCUUCUCUUUUAUGUUUGAGUGUUAUUUGUUGACCGCAUGUAUGUAGUAGAGAAUUAAUUUUCAAUCCUUUGAUUUCUUUGUUUGUUUUUAAAAGCUUGAUGUUUUGUUUUCUAUUGCUCAUAUCUUUAGUUUCGUAUUCGAAUAAUUUUAUUUACUCUCAAGGACAUUGUGGUUUUAACAUUUGAUCUCUUCUCCUUUCUCUACCUUGCUUUAAGCAUAAGGGUAGAAUUUUCAAGCUUCCCGUGGUCAAGAGAAGUUUAUUGGGAAUUAGUUAUUCGAUAAGUUUCCUCCAUAUUCCCUAUUCUCUCAAAUUUUGCACUGUUCUUCAUAUUAAUCUUUUAUGUUUUCAUGUUAUAUGCCUACUGUAUGUGUGUAUUAGAAAAUUAAUUUUCAAUCCGUUAAUUUCUUUGCUUGUUUUUUUAUCUUGAUGUUGCGUUGUCUAUUCCUCAUUUUUAUAGUUUCGUAUAUGCAUAAUUUGAUUUCCUUUCAACGAUAUUGUGCCUUAAGUUUUAUAUUUCUUAGUCUCGUUUUUACAUUUGAUUUUCACUCCUUUCGCUACCUUCUAUAAGCGUAAAGGUAGAAUUUUCAGGUUUCCCGAGGAAAAAAGAAGCUUAUUUGGAAAUACUUGUCAGGUAAGUUUCCUCCAUAUCCCCUAUUCUUUUCCAUUUCGCAUUGUUCUUUAUUCUUCUCUUUUAUGUUUGAUUGUUAUUUGUUGACCGCAUGUAUGUAGUAGAGAAUUAAUUUUCAAUCCUUUGAUUUCUUUGUUUGUUUUUAAAAGCUUGAUGUUGUGUUUUCUAUUGCUCAUAUCUUUAGUUUCGUAUUCGAAUAAUUUUUCUACUCUCAAGGACAUUGUGGUUUUAACAUUUGAUCUCUACUCCUUUCUCUACCUUGCUUUAAGCAUAAGGGUAGAAUUUUUCAGGUUUCCAAUGGUAAAGAGAAGUUUAUUGGGAAUUAGUUCUUGGAUAAGUUUCCUCCGUAUUCCCUAUUCUCUCAAAUUUUGCACUGUNNNNNNNNNNNNNNNNNNNNNNNNNNNNNNNNNNNNNNNNNNNNNNNNNNNNNNNNNNNNNNNNNNNNNNNNNNNNNNNNNNNNNNNNNNNNNNNNNNNNGUAUUUCCACACUAUACUUCUCAUUUCCUCUGGAAUCUGUAUAUUUCUACUUUCGCGCUUACCAGACUAAGUACGUGUGUCAUCGAAAAUUAAUUCUGAAUCCGUUAAUUUCUUUGUUUGUUUUUUAUCUCGAUCUUACGUUGUCUAUUCCUCAUUUCUUUAGUUUAUACCUGCAUAAUUUGAUUUUCUUUCAAUGAUAUUGCGCCUUGAGAGUUAAUUUUCUUAUUCUCAAUUUUACAUUUGAUCUCUACUCCUUUCGCUACAUUCUAUAAGCGUAAGGGUAGAAUUUUCAAGUUUCCCGAGGAAAAGAGAAGUUUGUUUGAAAAUACUUGUCAGGUAAGUUUUCUCCGCAUCCCCUAUUCUCCUCCAUUUUGCAUUGUUCUUCAUUCUUCUCUUUUAUAUUUGAGUGUUAUUUGUUCACUGCCUGUAUGUUGUACAGAAUGAAUUUUCAAUCCUUUGAUUUCAUUGCUUUUUUUUAGAGCUCUAUGUUGUGUUUUCUAUUAUUCAUUUCUUUAGUUUUGUAUCAAAAUAAUUUUAUUUACUCUCAAGGACAUUGUGGUUUUAACAUUUGAUCUCUUCUCAUUUCUCUAUCUUGCUUUAAGCGUAAGGGUAGAAUUUUCAGGUUUCCCGUGGUCAUGAGAAGUUUAUUUCGAGUUAGUUCUUCAGUAAGUUUCCUCUAUAUUCCCUAUUCUCUCAAAAAUUUUGCACUGUUUCUCCUAUUUAUCUUUUCGUGUUAUAUGUCUACUGUAUGUGUGUACUAGAAAAUUAAUUCUGAAUCCGUUAAUUUCUUUGUCUAUUUUUUUUCUUGAUGUUGCGUUUUCUAUUCCUCAUUUCUUUAGUUUCGUAUAUGCAUAAUUUGAUUUCCUUUCAAGGAUAUUGCGCAAUAGUUAAUUUUCUUAUUCUCGUUUUUACAUUUGAUCUCUACUCCUUUCGCUACAUUCUCUAAGCGUAAGGGUAGAAUUUAAAGGUUUCCCAAGGAAAAGAGAAGUGUUUUUGGAAAUACUUGUCAGGUAAGUUUUCUCCGUAUCCCUUAUUCCCCACCACUUCGCAUUGUUCUUCAUUCUUCUCUUUUAUGUUUGAGUGUUAUUUGUUCACUGCGUGUAUCUAGUAGAGAAUUAAUUUUCAAUCCUUUGAUUUCAAUUUUUUUUUUUUUAUACCUCUAUGUUGUGUUUUCUAUUACUCAUUUCUUUAGUUUCGUAUCAAAAUAAUUUUAGUUACUUUCAAGUACAUUGUGGUUUUAAAAUUUGAUCUCUACUCCUUUCUCUACCUUGCUUUAAGCGUAAGGGUAGAAUUUUCAGGUUUCCCCUGGUCAAGAGAAGUUUAUAAGGAAUUAGUUCUUCGAUAAGUUUCCUCCAUAUUCACUAUUCUCUCAAAUUUUGCUUUGUUCUUCUUAUUUCUCUUUUAUGUUUUCGUGUUAUAUGUCUACUGUAUGUGCGUACUAUAUAAUUAAUUUUAUAUCCGUUAAUUUCAUUGUUUGUUUUUUAUCUUGAUGUUGUGUUGUCUAUUCCUCAUUUCUUUAAUUUGGUAUCCAUAUAAUUUUAUUUCCUUUCUACAAUAUUGUGCCAUAAGAGUUAAUUUUCUUAAUCUCGAUUUUACAUUUGAUCUCUACUCCUUUCGCUACCUUCUAUAAGCGUAAGGGUAGAAUUUUCAGGUUGCUCGAGGAAAAGAGAAGUUUAUGGGAAAAUACUUGUCAGGUAAGUUUCCUCCGUAUCCCCUAUUCUCCUCCAUUUGGAAUUGUUGUUCAUUAUUCUCUUUUAUGUUUGAGUGUUAUUUGUUGACCACAUGUAUGUAGUAGAUAAUUAAUUUUCAAUCCUUUGAUUACUUUGGCUUUUUUUAAAAGCUUGAUCUUGUGUUUUCUAUUCCUCAUUUCUUUAGUUUCUUAUCAAAAUAAUUUUAUUUACUUUCAAGGACAUUGUGGUUUUAACAUUUGAUCUCUACCCCUUUCUCUACUUUGCUCUAAGCACAAUGGUAGAAUUUUCAAGUUUUCGGUGGUGAAGAGAAGUUUAUUGGGAAUUAGUUCUCGGAUAAGUUUUCCCCAAAUUCCCUACUCUCUCAAAUAUUGUAUUGUUCUUCAUUUUUAUCUUGUAUGUUUUCAUGUUAUAUUUCUACUAUAUGUAUGUACUAGAUAAUUAAUUUUAUAUCCGUUAAUUUCUUUGUUUGUUUUUUAUCUUGAUGUUGCAUUCUGUAUUCCCCAUUUCUUUAGUUUCGUAUCCAUAUAAUUUUAUUUCCUUUCUACAAUAUUGUGCCAUAAGAGUUAAUUUUCUUAAUCUCGUUUUUAUAUUUAAUCUCUACUCCUUUCGCUACCUUCUAUAAGCGUACGGGUAGAACUUUCAGGUUUCCCUUUGAAAAUAGAAGUUUAUUUGAAAAUACUUGUCAUGUAAGUUUCCUCUGUAUCCCAUAUUCUCCUCCAUUUGGCAUUGUUGUUCAUUCUUCUCUUUUAUGUUAAAGUGCUAUUUGUUGACCGCAUGUAUGUAGUAGAGAAUUAAUUUUCACUCUUUUGAUUUUUUUUUUUUUUUAAGAGCUUGAUCUUGUGUUUUCUAUUCCUCAUUUCUUUAGUUUCGUAUCAGAAUAAUUUGAUUUACUUUAAAGGACAUUAUGGUUUUCACAUUUGAUCUGUACACCUUUCUCUACCUUUCCCAAUAAACUUCCCUUGACCUCAGGAAACCUGAAAAUUCUACCCUUAUGCUUAAAUCAAGGUAGAGAAAGGAGAAGAGAUCAAAUGUUAAAACCACAAUGUCCUAAAGAGUAAAUAAAAUUAUUCGGAUAUGAAACUAAAGAUAUGAGCAAUAGAAAACACAACAUCAAGCUUUUAAAAACAAACAAAUAUAUCAAAGGAUUGAAAAUAAACUCUCUACUACAUACAUGCGGUAAAAAAAUAACACUCAAACAUAAAAAGAGAAGAAUAGAGAACAAUGCGAAAUGGUAAAGAAUAAGGGAUACGGAGGAAACUUACCUGACAAGUAUUUCCAAAUGAGCUUCUCUUUUCCUCGAGACACUUGAAAAUUUUACUCUUAUGCUUAUAGAAAGUAGCGAAAGGAGUAGAGAUCAAAUGUAAAAACGAGAAUAAGAAAAUUAACUCUCAAGACACAAUAUCGUUGACAUGAAAUUAAAUUAUGCUGUUACGAAACUAAAAAAAUGAGAAUAGACAACGCAACAUCAGAAUAAAAAACAAACAAAGGAAUUAACAAAUUCAAAAAUAAUUUUCUAGUACACACAUACAGUAGACGCAUAAGAUGAAAACAUAAAAGAUAAAAAUGAAAAACAGUGCAAAAUUUGAGAGAAUAGGGAAUAGGGAGGAAACUUAUCAAAGAACCAAUUCCCAAUAAACUUCUAUUCACCACGGGAAACCUUAAAAUUCUACCCUUACGCUUAAAGCAAUGUAGAGAAAGGAGUAGAUAUCAAAUGUUAAAACCACAAUGUCCUUGGGAGUAAAUCAAAUUAUUUUGAUACAAAACUAAAAAAAUGAGGAAUAGAAAACACAACAUCAAGCUUUUAAAAAAAAAAACAAAGAAAUCAAAGGAUUGAAAAUUAAUUCUCUACUACACACAAGCGGUCAACAAAUAACACUCAAACAUAAAAGAGAAUAAUGAAGAACAAUGCAAAAUGGAGGAGAAUAGGGAAUACGGAGGAAACUUACCUGACAAGUAUUUCCCUAUAAACUUCUCUUUACCUCGAGAAACUUGAAAAUUCUACCCUUAUAUUUAUAGAAGGUAGCGAAAAGUGUAGACAUCAAAUGUAAAAAUGAUAAUAAGAAAAUUAACUCUUAAGGCUCAAUAUGGUUGAAAGGAAAUCAAAUUCUACUGAUACAAAACUAAAGAAAUGAGGAAUAGACAAUGCAACAUCAAGAUAAAAAACAAACAAAGAAAUUAAUGGAUUCAAUGUUAAUUUUCUAGAACACACAUAUAGUAGACAUAUAACACAAAAACAUAAAAGAUAAAUAAGAAGAACAACCAAGAUUUGAGAGAAUAGGGAAUAUGGAGAAAACUUACCGAAUAACUAAUUCCCAAUAAACUUCUCUUGACUAGGGGAAACCUGAAAAUUCUACCCUUACGCCUAAAACAAGGUAGAGAAAGGAGUAGAGAUCAAAUUUUAAAACCACAAUGUACUUGAAAGUAAAUAAAAAUUUUUUGAUAAGAAACUAAAGAAAUAAGAAAUAGAAAACACAACAUAGAGCUAUAAAAAAAAAACAAUGAAAUCAAAGGAUGGAAAAUUCAUUAUCUACUAAAUACACGCAGUGAACAAAUAACACUCAAACAUAAAAGAGAAAAAUACAUAACAAUGCAAAAUGGUGGAGAAUAGGAAAUACGAAGAAAACUUACUCGACAAGUAUUUCCAAAUACUCUUUUCCUUGGGAAACCUAAAAAAUUCUACCCUUACGCUUAUAGAAUGUAGCGAAAAGAGUAGAGAUCAAAAGUAAAAAUGAGAAUAAGAAAAUUAAUUCUUAAGGUGCAAUAUAGUUGAAAGGAAAUCAAAUUAUGCAAAUACAAAACUAAAGAAAAGAGGAAUAGACAACGCAAGAUCAAAAUUAAAAACAACCAAAGAAAUUAACGGAUUCAAAUUAAUUUUCUAGUACACACAUAUAGUAGACAUAUAACAUGAAAACAUACAAAAUAAAUAUGAAAAACAGUGCAAAAUUUGAGAGAAUAAGGAAUACGGAGGAACCUUAUUCAAGAACUAAUUCCCAAUAAACUUUCCUUCACCACGGGAAACCUGAAAAUUCUACCCUUACGCUUAAAGCAAGGUACAGAAAGGAUUAGAGAUCAAAUGUUAAAAUCACAAUGUCCUUGAAAGUAAAUAAAAUUAUUUUGAUAAGAAACUAAAGAAAUGAGUAAUAGAAAACACAAUAUAGAGCUCUAAAAAAACACAAUGAAAUCAAAGGAUUGAAAAUUAAUUCUCUACUACAUACACGUAGUCAACAAAUAACACUCAAACAAAACAGAGAAGAAUGAAGAACAAUGCGAAAUGGGGGAGAAUAGGGGAUACGAAGAAAACUUACUCGACAAGUAUUUCCAAACAAACUACUCUUUUCCUCGGGAUACCUUAAAAUUCUACUUUCACGCUUACCUGACAAGUAUGGGUGUACUAGAAAAUUAAUUUUGAAUCCGUUAAUUUCUUUGUUUAUUUUUUAUCUUGAUCUUGCGUUGUCUAUUCCUCAUUUCAUUAGUUUUGUAUCUACAUAAUUUGAUUUUCUUUCAACGAUAUUGUGCCUUAAGAGUUAAUUUUCUUAUUCUCGUUUUUACAUUUGAUCUCUACUCCUUCCGCUACAUUCUAUAAGCGUAAAGGUAGAAUUUUCAGGUUUCCCGAGGAAAAGAGAAGUUUGUUUGGAAAUACUUGUCAGGUAAGUUUUCUUCGUAUCCCCUAUUCUCCUCCAUUUCGCAUUGUUCUUCAUUCUUCUCUUUUUUGUUUGAGUGUUAUUUGUUGACUUCGUGUAUGUAGUAGACAACGAAUUUUCAAUCCUUUGAUUUCAUUGUUUUUUUUUAUAACUCUAUGUUAUGUUUUCUAUUACUCAUUUAUUUAGUUUCUUAUCAAAAUAAUUUUAUUUACUUUCAAGGACAUUGUGGUUUUAACAUUUGAUCUCUAAUCCUUUCUGUACCUUGCUUUAAGCGUAAAGGUAGAAUUUUCAGGUUUCCCGUGGUGAAGGAAAAGUUUAUUGGGAAUUAGUUCUUGGAUAAGGUUCCUCCGUAUUCCCUAUUCUCUCAAAUUUUGCACUGUUCUUCAUAUUUAUCUUGUAUGUUUUCAUGUUAUAUGUCUAUUGUAUGUAUGUACUAUAAAAUUAAUUUUGAAUCUGAUAAUGUCUUUGUUUAUUUUUUAUUUUUAUGGUGCGUUGUCUAUUCCUCAUUUCUUUAGUUUCGUAUCAACAUAAUUUGAUUUCCUUUCAACGAUAUUGUGCAUUAAGAGUUAAUUUUCUUAUUCUCGUUUUUACAUUUGAUCUCUACUCGUUUCGCUACAUUCUAUAAGCAUAAGGGUAGAAUUUUCAGGUUUCCCGAGGAAAGGAGAAGUUUUCAAUCCUUUGAUUUUAUUAUUUUCUUUUAGAGCUAUAUGUUGUGUUUUUCUAUUACUCAUUUCUUUAGUUUCUUAUCAAAAUAAUUUUAUUUACCUUCAAGGACAUUGUGGUUUUAACAUUUGAUCUCUACUCCUUUCGCUACAUUCUAUAAGCGUAAGGGUAGAAUUUUCAAGUUUCCCGAGGAAAAGAGAAGUUUGUUUGGAAAUACUUGUCAGGUAAGUUUUCUCCGUAUCCCCUAUUCUCCUUCAUUUCGCAUUGUUCUUCAUUCUUCUCUUUUAUGUUUGAGUGUUAUUUGUUGAAUUCGUGUAUGUAGUAGAGAAUGGAUUUUCAAUCUUUUGAUUUCAUUGUUUUUUUUUAGAGCUCUAUGUUGUGUUUUCUAUUAUUCAUUUCUUUAGUUUCAUAUCAAAUUAAUUUUAUUUACUCUCAAGGAUAUUGAUGUUUUAACAUUUAUUCUCUACACAUUUCUCAACUUGCUUUAAGCGUAAGGGUAGAAUUUUCAGGUUUCCCGUAGUGAAGAGAAGUUUAUUGGGAAUUAGUUAUUGGAUAAGUUUCCUCCGUAUUCCCUAUUCUCUCAAAUUUUGCGUUGUUCUUCAUUUUUAUCUUGUCAGUUUCCUCCGUAUCCUCUAUUCUCCUCCAUCUGGCAUUGUUAUUCAUUCUUCUCUUUUAUGUUUGAGUGUUAUUUGUUGACCGCGUGUAUGUAGUAGAGAAAUAAUUUUCAAUUCUUUGAUUUCGUUUUUUUUUUUUUUAAAAGCUUGAUGUUGUGUUCUCUAUUGCUCAUUUCUUUAGUUUCGUAUCCGAAUAAUUUUAUUUACUUUCAAGGACACUGUGGUUUUAACAUUUGAUCUUUUCUCCUUUCUCUACCUUGCUUUAAGCAUAAGGGUAGAAUUUUCAGGUUUCGCGUGGUCAAGAGAAGUUUAUUGGGAAUUAAUUCUUCGAUAAGUUUCCUCCCUAUUCCUUAUUCUCUCAAAUUUUGCAUUGUUUUUCAUAUUUAUCUUUUAUGUUUUCGUGUUAUAUGUCUACUGUAUGUGUGUACUAGAAAAUUAAUUUAUGAAUCCGUUAAUUUCUUUGUUUGUUUUUUAUCUUGAUCUUGCGUUGUGUAUUCCUCAUUUCAUUAGUUUCGUAUCUACAUAAUUUAAUUUCCUUUAACCGAUAUUGUGCCUUAAGAGUUAAUUUUCUUAUUCUCGUUUUUACAUUUGUAAUCUACUCAUUUCGCUACCUUCUAUAAGCGUAAGGGUAGAAUUUUUAGGUUUCCCCAGGAAAAGAAAUGUUUGUUUGGAAAUACUUGUCAGGUAAGUUUUCUCUGUAUCCACUAUUCUCCUCCAUUUUGUAAUGUUCUUCAUUCUUCUCUUUUAUGUUUGAUUGUUAUUUGUUGAUUGCGUGUAUAUAGUAGAUAAUGAAUUUUCAAUCCUUUGAUUUCAUUGUUUUUUUUUUUAGAGCUCUAUGUUGUGGUUUUUAUUACUCAUUUCUUUAGUUUCUUAUCAAAAUAAUUUUAUUUACUUUCAAGGACAAUGUGGUUUUAACAUUUGAUUUCUACUCUUUUCUCUACCUUGUUUUAAGCGUAAGAGUAAAAUUUUUAGGUUUUCCGUGGUGAAGAUAAGUUUAUUGGGAAUUAGUUCUUGGAUAAGUUUCCUCCGUAUUCCCUAUUCUCUCAAAUUUUGCACGGUUCUUCAUAUUUAUCUUGUAUGUUUUCGUAUUAUAUGUCUACUGUAUGUGUGUGCUAGAAAAUUAAUUUUGAUUCUGUUAACUUCUUUGUUUGUUUUUUAUCUUAAUUUUGCGUUGCUUAUUCCUCAUUUCUUUAGUUUCAUAUCUGCAUAGUUUGAUUUUCUUUCAACCAAAGCCUUAAGAGUUAAUUUUCUUAUUCUUGUUUUUACAUUUGAUCUCUACCCCUUUUGCUUCCUUCUAUAAGCGUAAAGGUAGAAUUUUUAGGUUUCCCAAAGAAAAGAGAAGUUUAUUGGAAAAUACUUGUCAGAUAAGUUUCCUCGAUAUACACUAUUCUCCUUCAUUACGCAUUGUAAUUCAUUCUGCUCUUUUAUGUUUGAGUGUUAUUUGUUGACUACAUGUAUGUAGUAGAGAAUGAAUUUUCAAUCUUUUGAUUUCAUUGUUUUUUUUUAGCUUUAUGUUGAGUUUUCUAUUACUCAUUUCUUAAGUUUCUUAUCAAAAUAAUUUUAUUUACUCUUAAGAAAAUUGUGGUUUUAACAUUUGAUCUCUACUCCUUUCUCGACCUUCCUUUAAGCGUAACGGUAGAAUUUUCAGGUUUCCCGUGGUGAGGAGAAGCUUUUUGGGAAUUAGUUCUUGUAUAAGUUUCCUCUGUAUUCCCCUAUUCUCUCAAAUUUUGCAUUGUUCUUCAUAGUUAUCUUGUAUGUUUUCGUGUUAUAUGUCCACUGUAUAUGUGUACUAGAAAAUUAAUUUUGAAUCCGUUAAUUUCUUUGUUUGUUUUUUAUCUUGAUCUUGCGUUGUCUAUUCCUCAUUUCUUUAGUUUCGUAUCAGCAUAAUUUAAUUUCCUUUCAACGAUAUUGUGUCUUGAGAGUUAAUUUUCUUAUUCUCGUUUUUACAUUUGAUCUCUACGCCUUUCGUUACUUUCUAUAAGCGUAAGGGUAGAAUUUUCAAGUGUCCCGAGGAAAUGAGAAGUUUAUUUGGAAAUACUUGUCAGGUAAGUUUCCUCUGUAUCCCUUAUUCUCUUCCAUUUCGCAUUGUUCUUUAUUAUUCUCUUUUAUGUUUGAGUGUUAUUUUUUAAUCGCAUGUAUGUAGUAGAGAAUAAAUUUUCAAUCCUUUGAUUUCUUUGUUUUCUUUUUAAAAGCUUGUUGUUGUGUUUUCUUCCUCAUUUCUUUAGUUUCGUAUCAGAAUAAUUUGAUUUACUUUCAAGGACAUUGUGCUUUUCACAUUUGAUCUAUACACCUUUCUUUAAGCAUAAGGGUAGAAUUUUCAGGUUUCCCGAGGUCAAGAGAAGUUUAUUGAGAAUUAGUUCUUCGAUAAGUUUCCUCCAUAUUCCCUAUUCUCUCAAAUUAUGCAUUGUUCUUCAUAUUUAUCUUUUAUGUUUUCGUGUUAUAUGUCUAUUGUAUGUAUGUACUAGAAAAUUAAUUUUGAAUCCGUUAAUUUCUUUAUUUGUUUUUUAUCUCGAUGUUGCGUUGUCUAUUCCUCAUUUUUUUAGUUUCGUAUCAGCAUAAUUUAAUUUCAUUUCAACGAUAUUGUGUCUUGAGAGUUAAUUUUCUUAUUCUCGUUUUUACAUUUAAUCUCUACUCCUUUCGCUACUUUCUAUAAGUGUAAGGGUAGAAUUUUCAAGUGUCCCGAGGAAAAGAGAAGUUUAUUUGGAAAUACUUGUCAGGUAAGUUUCCUCCGUAUUCCCUAUUCUCUUCCAUUUCGCAUUGUUCUUUAUUAUUCUCUUUUAUGUUUGAGUGUUAUUUGUUGACCACAUAUAUGUAGUAGAGAAUUAAUAUUCAAUCCUUUGAUUUCUUUGUUUUUUUUUUUAAAAGCUUGAUGUUGUGUUUUCUAUUCCUCAUUUCUUUAGUUUCGUAUCAGAAUAAUUUUGAUUUACUUUCAAGGACAUUGUGGUUUUCACAUUUGAUUUGCACUCCUUUCUCUACCUUUCUUUANNNNNNNNNNNNNNNNNNNNNNNNNNNNNNNNNNNNNNNNNNNNNNNNNNNNNNNNNNNNNNNNNNNNNNNNNNNNNNNNNNNNNNNNNNNNNNNNNNNNUGCAAAAUUUAAGAGAAUAGGGAAUACGGAGGAAACUUAUCCAAGAACUAAUUCCCCGUAAACUUCUCUUUACCACGGGAAACCUGAAAAUUCUACCCUUAUGCUUAAAGAAAGGUAAAGAAGGUGUACAGAUCAAAUGUGAAAACCACAAUGUCCUUGAAAGUAAAUCAAAUUAUUCUGAUACGAAACUAAAGAAAUGAGGAAUAGAAAACACAACAUCAAGCUCAUAAAAAAAACAAAGAAAUCAAAGGAUUGAAAAUUAAUUCUCUACAUACAUGCGGUUAACAAAUAACACUCAAACAUAAAAGAGAAGAAUCAAGAACAAUGCGAAAUGGAAGAGAAUAGGGGAUACGGAGGAAACUUACCUGAAGAGUAUUUCCAAAUAAACUUCUCUUUUCCUCGGGACACUUGAAAAUUCUACCCUUACGCUUAUAAAAAGUAGUGAUAAGAGUAGAGAUCAAAUGUAAAAACGAGAAUAAGAAAAUUAACUCUCAAGACACAACAUCAUUGAAAUCAAAUUAAAUUAUAUUGAUACGAAACUAAAAAAAUGAGGAAUAGACAACACAACAUCGAGAUAAAAAACAAACAAAGAAAUUAACGGAUAUAAAAUUAAUUUUCCAAUACACACAUACAGUAGACAUAUAACACGAAAACAUAAAAGAUAAAUAUGAAUAACAAUGCAAAAUUUAAGAGAAUAUGAAAUAUGGAGGAAACUUAUCGAAGAACUAAUUCCCAAUAAACUUCUCUUGACCUCAGAAAACCUAAAAAUUCUACCCUUAUACUUAAAGCAAGGUAGAGAAAGGAGAAGAGAUCAAAUGUUAAAACCACAAUGUCCUUGAGAGUAAAUAAAAUUAUUCGGAUACGAAACUAAAGAAAUGAGUAAUAGAAAACACAACAUCAAGCUUUUAAAAAAAAACAAAGAAAUCAAAGGAUUGAAAAUUAAUUCUCUACUACAUACAUGCAGUCAACAAAUAAUACUCAAACAUAAAAGAGAAUAAUAAAGAACAAUGCAAAAUCGAAGAGAAUAGGGGAUACAGAGGAAACUUACCUGACAAGUAUUUCCAAAUAAACUUCUCUUUUCCUCGGGACACUUGAAAAUUCUACCUUUACGCUUAUAGAAAGUAUCAAAAGGAGUAGAGAUCAAAUGUUAAAACAAGAAUAAGAAAUUAACUCUCAAGGCACAAUAUCUUGAAAGGAAAUUAAAUUAUGCUGAUACGAAACUAAAGAAAUGAGGAAUAGACAACGCAACAUAAAGAUAAAAGACAAAAAAAGAAAUUAACGGUUUCAAAAUUAAUUUUCUAGUACACACAUACAGUUGACAUAUAACACGAAAACAUACAAGAUAAUUAUCAAGAACAAUGCAAAAUUUGAGAGAAUAGGGAAUACGGGGGAAACUUAUACAAGAACUAAUUCCCAAAAAGCUUCUCUUCACCACGGGAAACCUGAAAAUUCUACUGUUACGCUUAAAGGAAGGCCGAGAAAGGAGUAGAGAUCAAAUGUUAAAACCACAAUUUUCUUAAGAGUAAAUAAAAUUAUUUUGAUAAGAAACUUAAGAAAUGAGUAAUAGAAAACUCAACAUAGAGCUCUAAAAAAAAACAAUGAAAUCAAAGGAUUGAUAAUUCAUUCUCUACUACAUACAUGCAAUCAACAAAUAAUACUCAAAACACAAAAGAGAAGAAUGAAGAACAAUACGUAAUGAAGGAGAAUAGGGGAUACGGAGGAAACUUACCUGACAAGUAUUUCACAAUAAACUUCUCUUUUCUUUGGGAAACCUAAAAAUUCUACCCUUACGCUUAUAUAAGGUAGCGAAAGGAGUAGAGAUCAAAUGUAAAAACGAGAAUAAGAAAAUUAACUCUUAAGGCUCGUUGAAAGAAAAUCAAAUUAUGCAGAUACGAAACUAAAGAAAUGAGGAAUAGACAACGCAAGAUAAAGAUAAAAAACAAACGAAGAAAUUAACAGAAUCAAAAUUAAUUUUCUAGCACACACAUACAGUAGACAUAUACACGAAAACAUACAAGAUAAAUAUGAAGAACAUUACAAAAUUUGAGAGAAUAGGGAAUACGGAGGAAACUUAUCCAAGAACUAAUUCCCAAUAAACUUAUCUUCACCACGGAAAAGCUAAAAAUUUUACUCUUACGCUUAAAAUAAGGUAGAGAAAAGAGUAGAAAUCAAAUGUUAAAACCACCUUGUCCUUGAAAGUAAAUAAAAUUAUUUUGAUAAGAAACUAAAGAAAUGAGUAAUAAAAACCACAACAUAGAGCUCUAAAAAAAACAAUGGAAUCAAAGGAUUGAAAAUUCAUUCUCUACUACAUAUACACAGUUAACAAAUAACAAUCAAACAUAAAAGAGAAGAAUGAAGAACAAUGCAAAAUAGAGGAGAAUAGGGGAUACGGAAAAAACUUACCUGACAAGUAUUUCCAAACAAACUUCUCUUUUCCUCGGGAAACCUAAAAAUUCUAACCUUACGCUUAUAGAAGGUAGCGAAAGGAGUAGAUAACAAAUGUAAAAACGAGAAUAAGAAAAUUAACUCUUAUGGCACAAUACCGGUUAAAGGAAAUCAAAUUAUGCAGAUAUGAAACUAAAGAAAUGAGGAAUACACAACGCAAGAUCAAGAUAAAAAACAAACAAAGAAGUAAACGGAUUCAUAAAUUAAUUUUCUAGUACACACAUACAGUAGACAUAUAACACGAAAACAUAAAAGAUAAAUAUGAAAAACAGUACAAAAUUUGAGAGAAUAGGGAAUAGGGAGGAAACUUAUCGAAGAAUUAAUUUUCAAUAAACUUCUCUUGACCACGCGAAACCUGAAAAUUCUAUCCUUAUGCUUAAAGCAAAGUAGAGAAAGGAAAAGAUAUCAAAUGUUAAAACCACAGUGUCAUUGAAAGUAAAUAAAAUUAUUCGGAUACGAAACUAAAUAAAUGACCAAUAGAGAACACAACAUCAAGCUUUUAAAAACAAACAAAGAAAUUAAAGGAUUGAAAAUUAAUUCUCUACUACAUACAUGCAAUCAACAAAUAACACUCAAACAUAAAAGAAAAGAAUGAAGAACAAUGCAAAAUGGAGGAGAAUUGGGGAUACGGAGGAAACUUACCUGAUAAGUAUUUCCAAAUAAACUUCUCUUUUCCUUCACAAACCUGAAAAUUCUACCCUUACGCUUAAAGCAAGGUAGAGAAAAGAGUAGAGAAUAAAUGUUAAAACAUCAAUGUCCUUGAGAGUAAAUAAAAUUAAUUUGAUACGAAACUAAAGAAAUGAAUUAGAAAAUACAACAUAGAGCUCUAAAAAAAACAAUGAAAUCAAAGGAUUGAAAAUUCAUUCUCUACUACAUACAUGCAGUCAACAAAUAACACUCAAAACAUAAAAGAAAAGAAUGAAGAACAAUGCAAAAUGGAGGAGAAUUGGGGAUACGGAGGAAACUUACCUGAUAAGUAUUUCCAAAUAAAAUUCUCUUUUCCUUCGCAAACCUAAAAAUUCUACCCUUACGCUUAUAGAAUGUAGCGAAAGUAGUAAAGAUUAAAUGUAAAAACGAGCAUAAGAAAAUUAACUCUUAAGGCACAAUAUCGUUGAAAUGAAAUCAAAUUAUGUUGAUACGAAACUAAAGAAAUGGGGAAUAGCUAACGCAACAUCAAGAUAAAAACAAACAAACAAAUUAACGAAUUCAAAAUUAGUUUUCUAGUACACACAUACAGUAGACAUAUAACAGGAAUUUCGUGCACCACGCGUGCCACCGUUCGUGCACCAUGGCGUACCACCUUCUGUGCACCGCGGCGUGCCACCAUCCGUGCACCGCAGCGUGCCACCAUCCGUGCACCACAGCGUGCCACCGUUCGUGCACCGCACACGCAAGGACUCAUGCCACCACGCGUCCAAGGACGCGUGCCAUCGCGCAUGCUAAGACACCUUCCACCGUGCAUGCGGUGUUCAUGCAUCGCACGUGCCACAGUCUAUGCACUACACACGCAAGGACUCAUGCCACCCCGCAUGCAAAGACCAGUGCCACCAUACGUGGAAAGACACGUGCCACCGUCCGUGCACCGCACAUGCAAGGCGCAAGGACGAGUGCCAUCGCGCGUGUAAGGACGAGUGCCACCACGCGUGUAAGGACGAGUGCCGCACAUGCCACCAUUCGUGCACGCGUGCCACCGUCCAUGCACCGCAUACACAAGGCACAAGGACGCAUGCCACCGUGCAUGCAAAGACGAGUGCCAGCACGCGUGCAAGAACGUGUGCCAUCGCGUGCAUGCAAAGACGCGUGCACAGUUUCGUGCACCACGCGUGCCACCAUCCAUGCACCUGUGCAUGCCACCAUUCGUGCAUCACGCAGGCCAUCGUUCGUGCAUCGCGCAGGCCACACCGUCCAUGCGGUACAAGGCGCAAGGACACAUGUCACUGCGCAUGCAAGGACAAGUGCCACCACGCUUGGAAGGACAAGUGCCACCGCACAUGUCACCGUUCGUGCACCACGCAUGUCACUGUCCAUGCACCGUACACACAAGACGCAAGGACGCAUGCCAUUGUGCAUGCAAAAACGAGUGCCACCACAAGGGCACAUGCCACUGCGAGUGCAAGGACAAUUGCCAUCGUGGGUGCAAGGACAAUUGCCACCGUGGGUGCAAGGACGCGUGCCACCGUGCAUGCAAGGACGAGUGUCACCGCACAUGCAAGGACGUGUCACCGCACAUGCAAGGAUGAGUGCCACCGCGCAUGCAAGGACGAGUGCCACUGCGCAAGCAAGGACGAGUGACAGCGUGCAUUUAGACGAGUGCCACCAUGCAUGCCACCAUUUGUGCACCGCGCAUGCCAUCAUCCAGAUGGCACACGCAAGGCGCAAGGGCGCAAGGACGCAUGUCAUCGCGCAUGCAAAAACACCACACGUGCUACGCGUGUCACCGUCUAUGCACCGCCCGAGCUACCAUUUGUGUACCGUCCGUGCACCGUGCGUGCCAUAGUCUAUGCACCACGCAUGCCAUCAUCUGCCACUGUCCGAGGAACCGCGUGUGCCACCAUCCGUGCAUCGCACAUGCAAGGCACAAGGACGCAUGCCACUACGAGUUCAAGGAUGCGUGCCACCGCGCAUGCCACUGGACAUGCACCGUUCGUGCCAUGCCACCGCUACACACGCAAGGCGCAAGGACACAUGCCACGACAAAUGCAAAGACUAGUGUCACCACACGUGCAAGAACGCGUACAAGGACGCUUGCACACGUCCGUGCACCACGCGUGCCACCGUCCCUGCGGUGCAAGGCGCAAGAACGCAUGCCACGAACGGUGUCACCACGCGUGCAAGGAUGAGUGCCACCGCGCGUGCCAUCGUCCAUGCACGGCGCGUGCCACCAUCCGUGCACCGCGCGUGCCACCGUCCGUGCACCGCAAAUGCAAGGCACAAGGACGCAUGCCACUGCGAGUGCAAAGACGCAUGCCACUACGCGUGCAAGGACGAGUGCUACCACACGUGCAAGAACGUGUGCCACUGCGCGUGCAAGGACGCGUGCCACCACGCGUGCAAGAACGCGUGCCACCACGCGUGCAAGAACGCAUGCCACCACGCGUGCAAGAACGCGUGCCACCGUUCGUGCACCGCAAAUGCAAGGCGCAAGGACGCAUGCCACUACGAGUGCAAGGACGUGUGCCACUGCGCGUGCAAGGAUGCAUGCCACCACGCAUGCAAGGACGAGUGUCACCAUGCGUGCAAGAACGCGUGCCACCGUCCGUGCACCGCGCGUACCACCGUCUGUGCACUGCAAAUGCAAGGCGCAAGGACGCAUGCCACUACAAGUGCAAGGACGCAUGCCACUACGAGUGCAAGGACGCAUGCCACUACGAGUGCAAGGACACAUGCAACUGCGCGUGCAAGGACGAGUGCCACUACAAGUGCAAUGUUGUGUUUUCUAUUACUCAUUUCUUUACUUUCUUAUCAAAAUAAUUUUAUUUUCUUUGAAGUACAUUGUGGUUUUACAAUUUGAUUUCUACUCCUUUCUCUACCUUGCUUUAAGAGUAAGGGUAGAAUUUUCAGGUUUCCCGUUGUCAAGAGAAGUUUAUUGGGAAUUAAUUAUUCGAUAAGUUUCCUCUAUAUUCCCUAUUCCCUCAAAUUUUGCACGGUUCUUCAUAUUUAUCUUUUAUGUUUUCGUGUUAUAUGCCUACUGUAUGUGUGUAUUAGAAAAUUAAUUUUCAAUCCGUUAAUUUGUUUGCUUGUUUUUUUAUCUUGAUGUUGCGUUGUCUAUUCCUCAUUUCCUUAGUUUCGUAUAUGCAUAAUUUGAUUUCCUUUCAACGAUAUUGUGCCUUAAGUUUUAUAUUUCUUAGUCUCGUUUUUACAUUUGAUUUCUACUCCUUUCGCUACCUUCUCUAAGCGUAAGGCCAGAAUUUUCAGGUUCCCCGAGGAAAAGAGAAGCUUAUUUGGAAAUACUUGUCAGGUAAGUUUCCUCUGUAUCCCUUACUCUCUUUCAUUUCGCAUUGUUUUUUAUUCUUCUUUUUUAUGUUUGAGUGUUAUUUGUUGACCACAUGUAUGUAGUAGAUAAUUAAUUUUCAAUCCUUUGAUUUCUUUGUUUGUUUUUAAAAGCUUGAUGUUGAGUUUUUUAUUGCUCAUAUCUUUAGUUUCAUAUCCGAAUAAUUUUAUUUACUCUCAAAGACAUUGUGGUUUUAACAUUUGAUCUCUUCUCCUUUCUCUACCUUGCUUUAAGCAUAAGGGUGGAAUUUUCAGGCUUCCCGUGGUCAAGAGAAGUUUAUUGGGAAUUAGUUAUUCGAUAAGUUUCCUCCAUAUUCCCUAUUCUCUCAAAUUUUGCAUUGUUCUUCAUAUUAAUCUUUUAUGUUUUCGUGUUAUAUGCCUACUGUAUGUGUGUAUUAGAAAAUUAAUUUUCAAUUCGUUAAUUUGUUUGCUUGUUUUUUUUAUCUUCAUUUUGCGUUGUCUAUUCCUCAUUUCCUUAGCUUCGUAUAUGCAUAAUUUGAUUUCCUUUCAACGAUAUUGUGCCUUAAGUUUUAUAUUUCUUAGUCUCGUUUUUACAUUUGAUUUCUACUUCUUUCGCUACCUUCUAUAAGCAUAAGGGUAGAAUUUUCAGGUUUACCGAGGAAAAGAGAAGCUUAUUUGGAAAUACUUGUCAGGUGAGUUUCCUCCGUAUCCCUUAUUCUUUUCAAUUUCGCAUUGUUCUUUAUUCUUCUAUUUUAUGUUUGAGUGUUAUUAUUUGUUGACCGCAUGUAUGUAGUAGAGAAUUAAUUUUCAAUCUUUUGAUUCCUUUGUUUGUUUUUAAAAACUUGAUGUUGUGUUUUCUAUUCCUCAUAUCUUUAGUUUCGUAUCCGAAUAAUUUUAUUUACUCUCAAGGAAUUUGUGGUUUUAACAUUUGAUCUCUACUCCUUUCUCUACCUUGCUUUAAACAUAAGGGUAGAAUUUUCAUAUUUCUCGUGGUAAAGAGAAGUUUAUUAGGAAUUAGUUCUUGGAUAAGUUUCCUCUGUAUUCCCUAUUCUCUCAAAUUUUGCACUGUCUACUGUAUGAGUGUACGAGAAAAUUACUUUUGAACCCGUAAAAAAAACAAAGAAAUGUUAAAGAACUAAUUCCCAAUAAACAUCUCUUCACCACGGAAAACCUGAAAAUUCUACCUUUCCGCUUAAAGCAAGGUAGAGAAAGGAGUAGAUAUCAAAUGUUAAAACCACAAUGUCCUUGAAAGUAAAUCAAAUUAUUCUAAUACGAAACUAAAGAAAUGAAGAAUACAAAACACAACAUCAAGCUUUUUAAAAAAAACAAAGAAAUCAAAGGAUUGAAAAUUAAUUCUCUACUACACACAAGCGGUCAACAAAUAACACUCAAACAUAAAAGAGAAUAAUGAAGAACAAUGCGAAAUGGAAGAGAAUAGGUGAUACGGAGGAAACUUACCUGACAAGUAUUUCCAAAUAAGCUUCUCUUUUCCUCGGGAAACCUGAAAAUUCUACCCUUAUGCUUAUAUAAGGUAGCGAAAGGAGUAGAAAUCAAAUGUAAAAACGAGACUAAGAAAUAUAAAACUUAAGGCACAAUAUCGUUGAAAGGAAAUCAAAUUAUGCAUACACGAAACUAAGGAAAUGAGGAAUAGACAACGCAAAAUCAAGAUAAAAAAACAAACAAACAAAUUAACGAAUUGAAAAUUAAUUUUCUAAUACACACAUACAGUAGGCAUAUAACACGAAAACAUAAAAGAUAAAUAAGAAGAACAACGCAAAAUUUGAGAGAAUAGGGAAUAUGGAGAAAACUUAUCGAAGAACUAAUUCCCAAUAAACUUCUCUUGACAAGGGGAAACCUAAAAAUUCUACCCUUACGCUUAAAGCAAGGUAGAGAAAGGAGCAGAUAUCAAAUUUUAAAACCACAAUGUACUUGAAAGUAAAUAAAAUUUUUUUGAUAAGAAACUAAAGAAAUGAGAAAUAGAAAACACAACAUAGAGCUCUAAAAAAAAACAAAUGAAAUCAAAGGAUUGAAAAUUCAUUAUCUACUAGAUACACGUAGUGACCAAAUAACACUCAAACAUAAAAGAGAAGAAUAAAGAACAAUGCAAAAUGGUGGAGAAUAGGAGAUACGAAGAAAACUUACUCGACAAGUAUUUCCAAACAAACUACUUUUUUCCUCGAGAAACCUUAAAAUUCUACUUUCACGCUUACCUGACAAGUAUGUGUGUACUACAAAAUUAAUUUUGAAUUCGUUAAUUUCUUUAUUUGUUUUUUAUCUUGNNNNNNNNNNNNNNNNNNNNNNNNNNNNNNNNNNNNNNNNNNNNNNNNNNNNNNNNNNNNNNNNNNNNNNNNNNNNNNNNNNNNNNNNNNNNNNNNNNNNNNNNNNNNNNNNNNNNNNNNNNNNNNNNNNNNNNNNNNNNNNNNNNNNNNNNNNNNNNNNNNNNNNNNNNNNNNNNNNNNNNNNNNNNNNNNNNNNNNNNNNNNNNNNNNNNNNNNNNNNNNNNNNNNNNNNNNNNNNNNNNNNNNNNNNNNNNNNNNNNNNNNNNNNNNNNNNNNNNNNNNNNNNNNNNNNNNNNNNNNNNNNNNNNNNNNNNNNNNNNNNNNNNNNNNNNNNNNNNNNNNNNNNNNNNNNNNNNNNNNNNNNNNNNNNNNNNNNNNNNNNNNNNNNNNNNNNNNNNNNNNNNNNNNNNNNNNNNNNNNNNNNNNNNNNNNNNNNNNNNNNNNNNNNNNNNNNNNNNNNNNNNNNNNNNNNNNNNNNNNNNNNNNNNNNNNNNNNNNNNNNNNNNNNNNNNNNNNNNNNNNNNNNNNNNNNNNNNNNNNNNNNNNNNNNNNNNNNNNNNNNNNNNNNNNNNNNNNNNNNNNNNNNNNNNNNNNNNNNNNNNNNNNNNNNNNNNNNNNNNNNNNNNNNNNNNNNNNNNNNNNNNNNNNNNNNNNNNNNNNNNNNNNNNNNNNNNNNNNNNNNNNNNNNNNNNNNNNNNNNNNNNNNNNNNNNNNNNNNNNNNNNNNNNNNNNNNNNNNNNNNNNNNNNNNNNNNNNNNNNNNNNNNNNNNNNNNNNNNNNNNNNNNNNNNNNNNNNNNNNNNNNNNNNNNNNNNNNNNNNNNNNNNNNNNNNNNNNNNNNNNNNNNNNNNNNNNNNNNNNNNNNNNNNNNNNNNNNNNNNNNNNNNNNNNNNNNNNNNNNNNNNNNNNNNNNNNNNNNNNNNNNNNNNNNNNNNNNNNNNNNNNNNNNNNNNNNNNNNNNNNNNNNNNNNNNNNNNNNNNNNNNNNGAGUUAUUUUUCUUGGUCUCAUUUUUACAUUUGAUCUCUACUCCUUUCACUACAUUCUAUAAGCGUAAGGGUAGAAUUUUCAGGUUUCCCGAGGAAAAGAGAAGUUUGUUUGAAAAUACUUGUCAGGUAAGUUUUCUCCGUAUCCCCUAUUCUCCUCCAUUUCGCAUUGUUCUUCAUUAUUCUCUUUUAUAUUUGAGUGUUAUUUGUUCACUGCGUGUAUCUAGUAGAUAAUGAAUUUUCAAUCCUUUUAUUUCAUUGUUUUUUUUAGAGCUCUAUGUUGUGUUUUCUAUUUCUCAUUUCUUUAGUUUCUUAUCAAAAAAAUUUUAUUUACUUUCAAGUACAUUAUGGUUUUAAAAUUUGAUCUCUACUCCUUUCUCUACCUUGCUUUAAGCGUAAGGGUAGAAUUUUUAGGUUUCCCCUUGUCAAGAGAAGUUUAUUGGGAAUUAGUUCUUCGAUAAGUUUUCUCCAUAUUCCCUAUUCUCUGAAAUUUUGCGUUGUUCUUCUUAUUUAUCUUUUAUGUUUUCGUGUUAUAUGCCUACUGUAUGUGUGUNNNNNNNNNNNNNNNNNNNNNNNNNNNNNNNNNNNNNNNNNNNNNNNNNNNNNNNNNNNNNNNNNNNNNNNNNNNNNNNNNNNNNNNNNNNNNNNNNNNNUAGUUAUUGGAUAAGUUUCCUCCGUAUUCCCUAUUCUCUCAAAUUUUGCACUGUUAGUAUGAGUGUACGAGAAAAUUACUUUUGAACCCGUUAAAAAAACAAAGAAAGGUUAAAGAACUAAUUCCUAAUAAACUUCUCUUUACCACGGAAAACCUGAAAAUUCUACCAUUCUGCUUAAAGUAAGGUAGAGAAAGGAGUAGAUAUCAAAUGUUAAAACCACAAUGUCCUUGAAAAUAAAUCAAAUUAUUCUGAUACGAAACUAAAGAAAUAAGGAAUAAGAAACACAACAUCAAACUUUUAAAAACAAACAAAGGAAUCAAAGGAUUGAAAAUUAAUUCUCUAUUACACACAAACGGUCAACAAAUAACACUCAAACAUAAAAGAGAAUAAUGAAGAACAAUGCAAAAUGGAGGAGAAUAGGGGAUACGGAGGAAACUUACCUGACAAGUAUUUCCCCAUAAACUUCUCUUUACCUCGAGAAACUUGAAAAUUCUACCCUUACGCUUAUAGAAGGUAGCGAAAGGUGUAGAGAUCAAAUGUAAAAGCGAGAAUUACAAAAUUAACUCUUAAGGCUUAAUAUGGUUGAAAGGAAAUCAAAUUCUGCCCAUACGAAACUAAAGAAAUGAGGAAUAGACAACGCAACAUCAAGAUAAAAACAAAGAAAGAAAUUAUUGGAUUCAAUAUUAAUUUUCUAGAACACACAUAUAGUAAACAUAUAACACGAAAACAUAAAAGAUAAAUAAGAAGAACAACGCAAAAUUUGAGAGAAUAGGGAAUAUGGAGAAAACUUAUCGAAGAACUAAUUCCCAAUAAACUUCUCUUGACAAGGGGAAACCUAAAAAUUCUACCCUUACGCUUAAAGCAAUGUAGAGAAAGGAGUAGAGAUCAAAUUUUAAAACCACAAUGUACUUGAAAGUAAAUAAAAUUUUUUUGAUAAGAAACUAAAGAAAUGAAAAAUAGAAAACACAACAUAGAGCUCUAAAAAAAACAAUGAAAUCAAAGGAUUGAAAAUUCAUUAUCUACUAGAUACACGCAGUGAACAAAUAACACUCAAAUAUAAAAGAGAAGAAUAAAGAACAAUGCGAAAUGGAGGAGAAUAGGGGAUACGGAGAAAACUUACCUGACAAGUAUUUUCAAACAAACUUCUCCUUUCCUCGGGAAACCUGAAAAUUCUACUUUCACGCUUACCUAACAAGUAUGUGUACUAGAAAAUUAAUUUUGAAUUCGUUAAUUUCUUUAUUUGUUUUUUAUCUUGAUCUUGCGUUGUCUAUUCCUCAUUUCUUUAGUUUUGUACCUGCAUAAUUUGAUUUUCUUUCAAUGAUAUUGUUCCUUAAGAGUUAAUUUUGUUAUUCUCAUUUUUACGUUUGAUUAAGCGUAAGGGUAAAAUUUUCAAGUUUCCCGAGGAAAAGUGAGGUUUGUUUGAAAAUACUUGUCAGGUAAGUUUUCUCCGUAUCCCCUAUUCUCCUCCAUUUCGCAUUGUUCUUCAUUCUUCUCUUUUAUAUUUGAGUGUUAUUUGUUCACUGCGUGUAUCUAGUAGAUAAUGAAUUUUCAAUCCUUUGAUGUCAUUGUCUUUUUUAGAACUCUAUGUUGUGUUUUCUAUUUUUCAUUUCUUUAGUUUCUUAUCAAAAAAAUUUUAUUUACUUUCAAGUACAUUGUGGUUUUAAAAUUUGAUCUCUACUCCUUUCUCUACCUUGCUUUUAGCGUAAGGGUAGAAUUUUUAGGUUUCCUCUAGUUCAGAGAAGGUUAUUAGGAAUUAGUUCUUCCAUAAGUUUUCUCCAUGUUCCCUAUUCUAUCAAAUUUUGCAUUGUUAUUCUUAUUUAUUUUUUAUGUUUUCGUGUUAUAUGUUUACUAUAUGUGUGUUCUAGAAAAUUAAUAUUGAAUCAAAUAAUUUCUUUCUUUGUUUUUAUCUUGAUGUUGCGUUGUCUAUUCCUCAUUUCUUUAGUUUCGUAUGGGCAGAAUUUGAUUUCCUUUACAACAUAUUAAGCCUUAAGAGUUAAUUUUCUAAUUCUCGUUUUUACAUUUGAUCUCUACACUUUUCGCUACCUUCUAUAAGCGUAAGGGUAGAAUUUUCAAGUUUCUCGAGGUAAAGAGAAGUUUAUGGGGAAAUACUUGUCAGGUAAGUUUCCUCCGUAUCCCCUAUUCUCCUCCAUUUUGCAUUGUUCUUUAUUAUUCCCUUUUAUGUUUGAGUGUUAUUUGUUGACCGCUUGUGUGUAGUAAAGAAUUAAUUUUCAAUCCUUUGAUUCCUUUGUUUGUUUUUAAAAGCUUGAUGUUGUGUUUUUUAUUCCUUAUUUCUUUAGUUUCGUAUCAGAAUAAUUUGAUUUAUUUUCAAGGACAUUGUGGUUUUAACAUUUGAUAUCUACUCCUUUCUCUAUCUUGCUUUAAGAAGAAUGGUAGAAUUUUCAGGUUUUCCGUGGUAAAGAGAAGUUUAUUGGGAAUUANNNNNNNNNNNNNNNNNNNNNNNNNNNNNNNNNNNNNNNNNNNNNNNNNNNNNNNNNNNNNNNNNNNNNNNNNNNNNNNNNNNNNNNNNNNNNNNNNNNNAACAGUGCAAAAUUUGAGAGAAUAGGGAAUACGGAGGAAACUUAUUCAAGAACUAAUUCCCAAUAAACUUCUCUUUACCACGAGAAACCUGAAAAUUCUACCCUUAUGCUUAAUGCAAGGUAGAGAAAGGAGUAGAGAUAAAAUGUUAAAACCACAAUAUCCUUAAGAGUAAAUAAAAUUAUUCGGAUACGAAACUAAAGAUAUGAGCAAUAGAAAACACAACAUUAAACUUUUAAAAACAAACAAAGGAAUCAAAGGAUUGAAAAUUAAUUCUAUACUACACACAAGCGGUCAACAAAUAACACUCAAACAUAAAAGAGAAUAAUGAAGAAGAAUGCAAAAUGGAGGAGAAUAUGGGAUACGGAGGAAACUUACUUGACAAGUAUUUCCUCAUAAACUUCUCUUUACCUCGAGAAACUUGAAAAUUCUACCCUUACGCUUAUAGAAGGUAGCGAAAGGUAUAGAGAUCAAAUGUAAAAACGAGAAUUACAAAAUUAACUCUUAAGGCUUAAUAUGGUUGAAAAGGAAAUCAAAUUUUGCCGAUACGAAACUAAAGAAAUGAGGAAUAGACAACGCAACAUCAAGAUAAAAACAAAGAAAGAAAUUAUUGGAUUGAAUAUUAAUUUUCUAGAACACACAUAUAGUAAACAUAUAACACGAAAACAUAAAAGAUAAAUAAGAAGAACAACGCAAAAUUUGAGAGGAUAGGGAAUAUGGAGAAAACUUAUCGAAGAACUAAUUCCCAAUAAACUUCUCUUGACAAGGGGAAACCUAAAAAUUCUACCAUUACGCUUAAAGUAAGGUAGAGAAAGGAGUACAGAUCAAAUUUUAAAACCACAAUGUACUUGAAAGUAAAUAAAAUUUUUUUGAUAAGAAACUAAAGAAAUGAAAAAUAGAAAACACAACAUAGAGCUCUAAAAAAACAAUGAAACCAAAGGAUUGAAAAUUCAUUAUCUACUAGAUACACGCAGUGAACAAAUAACACUCAAAUAUAAAAGAGAAGAAUAAAGAACAAUGCGAAAUGGAGGAGAAUAGGGGAUACGGAGAAAACUUACCUGACAAGUAUUUUCAAACAAACUUCUCUUUUCCUCGGGAAACCUGAAAAUUUUACUUUCACGCUUACCUGACAAGUAUGUGUGUACUAGAAAAUUAAUUUUGAAUUCGUUAAUUUCUUUAUUUGUUUUUUAUCUUGAUCUUGCGCUUGUCUCUUCCUCAUUUCUUUAGUUUUGUACCUGCAUAAUUUGAUUUCCUUUUAACGAUAUUGUGCCUUAAGAGUUAAUUUUCUUGUUCUCAUUUUUACAUUUGAUCUCUACUCCUUUUGCUCCAUUCAAUAAGCGUAAGGGUAGAAUUUUCAGGUUUCCCGAGGAAAAGAGAAGUUUGUUUGAAAAUACUUGUCAGGUAAGUUUUCUCUAUAUCCCCUAUUCUCCUCCAUUUCGCAUUGUUCUUCAUUCUUCUCUUUUAUAUUUGAGUGUUAUUUGUUCACUGCGUAUAUCUAGUAGAUAAUGAAUUUUCAAUCCUUUUAUUUCAUUGCUUUUUUUAGAGCUCUAUGUUUUGUUUUCUAUUUCUCAUUUCUUUAGUUUCUUAUCAAAAAAAUUUUAUUUACUUUCAAGUACAUUGUGGUUUUAAAAUUUGAUCUCUACUCCUUUCUCUACCUUGCUUUGAGCGUAAGGGUAGAAUUUUUAGAUUUCCCCUUGUCAAGAGAAGUUUAUUGGGAAUUAGUUCUUCGAUAAGUUUUCUCCAUAUUCUCUAUUCUCUCAAAUUUUGCGUUGUUCUUCUUAUUUAUCUGUUAUGUUUUCGUGUUAUAUGUUUACUAUAUGUGUGUUCUAGAAAAUUAAUAUUCAAUCCAAUAAUUUCUUUCUUUGUUUUUUAUCUUGAUGUUGCCUUGUCUAUUCCUCAUUUCUUUUGUUUCGUAUCGGCAGAAUUUGAUUUCCUUUCAACCAUAUUAAGCCUUAAGAGUUAAUUUUCUAAUUUUCGUUUUUACAUUUGAUCUCUACACCUUUCGCUACCUUCUAUAAGCGUAAGGGUAGAAUUUUCAAGUUUCUCGAGGUAAAGAGAAGUUUAUGAGGAAAUACUUGUCCAGUAAGUUUCCUCCGUAUCCCCUAUUCUCCUCCAUUUUGCAUUGUUCUUCAUUAUUCUCUUUUAUGUUUGAGUGUUAUUUGUUGACCGUUUGUGUGUAAUAGAGAAUUAAUUUUCAAUCCUUUGAUUCCUUUGUUUGUUUUUAAAAGUUUGAUGUUGUUUUUUCUAUUGCUCAUAUCUUUAGUUUCGUAUCCGAAUAAUUUUAUUUACUCUCAAGGACAUUGUGGUUUUAACAUUUGAUCUCUACUCCUUUCUCUACCUUGCAUUAAGCAUAAGGGUAGAAUUUUCAGGUUUCUCGUGGUAAAGAGAAGUUUAUUGGGAAUUAGUUCUUGAAUAAGUUUCCUCCGUAUUUCCUAUUCUCUCAAAUUUUGCACUGUCUACUGUAUGAGUGUACGAAAAAAUUACUUUUGAACCCGUUAAAAAAACAAAAAAUGGUAAACGAACUAAUUCCCAAUAAACUUCUCUUUACCUACAAAAACUUAAAAACUCAAACCCUCUUCUUAACGCUCGGUAUAGAUAGGAGUAUAGAUCAAAUGUAAAAACAAAAAUUUCCUUGAAAGUAAAAAUUAUUAUUCGGAUACUAAUCNAAAGAUAUGAGCAAUAGAAAAAACUACAUCAACUUUUAAUAAACAACAAAGGAAUCAAAGGAUUGAAAAUUAAUUCUCAAUUACACACAAACGGUCAACAAAUAACACUCAAACAUAAAAGAGAAUAAUUAAUAACAAUGCAAAAUGGAGGAGAAUAUGGGAUACGGAGGAAACUUACCUGACAAGUAUUUCCCCAUAAACUUCUCUUUACCUCGAGAAACUUGAAAAUUCUACCCUUACGCUUAUAGAAGGUAGCGAAAGGUGUAGAGAUCAAAUGUAAAAACGAGAAUUAGAAAAUUAACUCUUAAGGCUUAAUAUGGUUGAAAGGAAAUCAAAUUCUGCCGGUACGAAACUAAAGAAAUGAGGAAUAGACAACGCAACAUCAAGAUAAAAAACAAAGAAAGAAAUUAUUGGAUUCAAUAUUAAUUUUCUAGAACACACAUAUAGUAAACAUAUAAUACGAAAACAUAAAAGAUAAAUAAGAAGAAUAACGCAAAAUUUGAGAGAAUAGGAAAUAUGGAGAAAACUUAUCGAAGAACUAAUUCCCAAUAAACUUCUCUUGACAAGGGGAAACCUAAAAAUUCUACCAUUACGCUUAAAGUAAGGUAGAGAAAGGAGUAGAGAUCAAAUUUUAAAACCACAAUGUACUUGAAAGUAAAUAAAAUUUUUUUGAUAAGAAACUAAAGAAAUGAAAAAUAGAAAACACAACAUAGAGCUCUAAAAAAAACAAUGAAACCAAAGGAUUGAAAAUUCAUUAUCUACUAGAUACACGCAGUGAACAAAUAACACUCAAACAUAAAAGAGAAGAAUAAAGAACAAUGCAAAAUGGUGGAGAAUAGGAGAUACGAAGAAAACUUACUCGACAAGUAUUUCCAAACAAACUACUCUUUUCCUCGAGAAACCUUAAAAUUCUACUUUCACGCUUACCUGACAAGUAUGUGUGUACUAGAAAAUUAAUUUUGAAUUCGUUAAUUUCUUUAUUUGUUUUUUAUCUUGAUCUUGCGUUGUCUAUUCCUCAUUUCUUUAGUUUUGUACCUGCAUAAUUUGAUUUUCUUUCAACGAUAUUGUGCCUUAAGAGUUAAUUUUCUUGUUCUCAUUUUUACAUUUGAUCUCUACUCCNNNNNNNNNNNNNNNNNNNNNNNNNNNNNNNNNNNNNNNNNNNNNNNNNNNNNNNNNNNNNNNNNNNNNNNNNNNNNNNNNNNNNNNNNNNNNNNNNNNNAGUUCUUGGAUAAGUUUCCUCCGUAUUCCCUAUUCUCUCAAAUUUUGCACUGUCUACUGUAUGAGUGUACGAGAAAAUUACUUUUGAACCCGUUAAAAAAACAAAGAAAGGUUAACGAACUAAUUCCCAAUAAACUUCUCUUUACCACGAAAAACCUAAAAAUUCUACCAUUCUUUUUAAAGCAAGGUAGAGAAAGGAGUAGAUAUCAAAUGUUAAAACCACAAUGUCCUUGAAAGUAAAUCAAAUUAUUCUGAUACGAAACUAAAGAAAUGAGGAAUAAAAAACACAACAUCAAGCUUUAAAAAAAAAACAAAGAAAUCAAAGAAAUCAAAGGAUUGAAAAUUAAUUCUCUACUACACACAAGCGGUCAACAAAUAACACUCAAACAUAAAAGAGAAUAAUGAAGAACAAUGCAAAAUGGAGGAGAAUAGGGGAUACGGAGGAAACUUACCUGACAAGUAUUUCCCCAUAAACUUCUCUUUACCUUGAGAAACUUGAAAAUUCUACCCUUACGCUUAUAGAAGGUAGCGAAAGGUGUAGAGAUCAAAUGUAAAAACGAGAAUUAGAAAAUUAACUCUUAAGGCUUAAUAUGGUUGAAAGCAAAUCAAAUUUUGCCGAUACGAAACUAAAGAAAUGAGGAAUAGACAACGCAACAUCAAAAUAAAAAACAAAGAAAGAAAUUAUUGGAUUCAAUAUUAAUUUUCUAGAACACACAUAUAAUAAACAUAUAACACGAAAACAUAAAAGAGAAAUAAGAAGAACAACGCAAAAUUUGAGAGAAUAGGGAAUAUGGAGAAAACUUAUCUAAGAACUAAUUCCCAAUAAACUUCUCUUGACAAGGGGAAACUUAAAAAUUCUAUCCUUACGCUUAAAGCAAGGUAGAGAAAGGAAUAGAGAUCAAAUUUUAAAACCACAAUGUACUUGAAAGUAAAUAAAAUUUUUUUGAUAAGAAACUAAAGAAAUGAGAAAUAGAAAACACAACAUAGAGCUCCAAAAAAAACAAUGAAAUCAAAGGAUUGAAAAUUCAUUAUCUACUAGAUACACGCAGUGACCAAAUAACACUCAAAUAUAAAAGAGAAGAAUAAAGAACAAUGCAAAAUGGUGGAGAAUAGGAGAUACGAAGAAAACUUACUCGACAAAUAUUUCCAAACAAACUACUCUUUUCCUCGAGAAACCUUAAAAUUCUACUUUCACGCUUACCUGACAAGUAUGUGUGUACUAGAAAAUUAAUUUUGAAUUCGUUAAUUUCUUUAUUUGUUUUUUAUCUUGAUCUUGCGUUGUCUAUUCCUCAUUUCUUUAGUUUUGUACCUGCAUAAUUUGAUUUUCUUUCAACGAUAUUGUGCCUUAAGAGUUAAUUUUCUUGUUCUCAUUUUUACAUUUGAUCUCUACUCUUUUCGCUACAUUCUAUAAGCGUAAGGGUAGAAUUUUCAGGUUUCCCGAGUAAAAGAGAAGUUUGUUUGAAAAUACUUGUCAGGUAAGUUUUCUUCGUAUCCCCUAUUCUCCUCCAUUUCGCAUUGUUCUUCAUUCUUCUCUUUUAUAUUUGAGUGUUAUUUGUUCACUGCGUGUAUCUAGUAGAUAAUGAAUUUUCAAUCCUUUGAUUUCAUUGUUUUUUUUUAGAGCUCUAUGUUGUGUUUUCUAUUUCUCAUUUCUUUAGUUUGUUAUCAAAAAAUUUUUAUUUACUUUCAAGUACAUUGUGGUUUUAAAAUUUGAUCUCUACUCCUUUCUCUACCUUGCUUUAAGCGUAAGGGUAGAAUUUUUAGGUUUCCCCUUGUCAAAAGAAGUUUAUUGGGAAUUAGUUCUUCGAUAGGUUUUCUCCAUAUUCCCUAUUCUCUCAAAUUCUGCGUUGUUCUUCUUAUUUAUCUUUUAUGUUUUCGUGUUAUAUGUUUACUAUAUAUGUGUGUUCUAGAAAAUUAAUAUUGAAUCCAAUAAUUUCUUUCUUUGUUUUUUAUCUUGAUGUUGCGUUGUCUAUUCCUCAUUUCUUUAGUUUCGUACCGGCAGAAUUUGAUUUCCUUUCAACCAUAUUAAGCCUUAAGAGUUAAUUUUCUAAUUCUCGUUUUUACAUUUGAUCUCUACACCUUUCGCUACCUUCUAUAAGCGUAAGGGUAGAAUUUUCAAGUUUCUCGAGGUAAAGAGAAGUUUAUGGGGAAAUACUUGUCAGGUAAGUUUCCUCCGUAUCCCCUAUUCUCCUCCAUUUUGCAUUGUUCUUUAUUAUUCCCUUUUAUGUUUGAGUGUUAUUUGUUGACCGCUUGUGUGUAGUAGAGAAUUAAUUUUCAAUCCUUUGAUUUCUUUGUUUUUUUUUAAAAGCUUGAUGUGAUGUUUUUUAUUCCUCAUUU